CCUACGGGUGGCUGCAGUGGGGAAUAUUGGGCAAUGGGCGCAAGCCUGACCCAGCAACGCCGCGUGAAGGAAGAAGGCUUUCGGGUUGUAAACUUCUUUUGACAGGGAAGAGCAGAAGACGGUACCUGUCGAAUAAGCCACGGCUAAUUCCGUGCCAGCAGCCGCGGUAAUACGGAAGGCCCGAGCGUUAUCCGGAUUCAUUGGGCUUAAAGGGAGCGUAGGCGGGCGUUCAAGUCAGCUGUAAAAUCGCGGGGCUCAACCGCGCCCCGCAGUUGAAACUGGACGCCUUGAGUUCACAACAGGCAGGCGGAAUUCGUGGUGUAGCGGUGAAAUGCAUAGAUAUCACGAGGAACCCCGAUUGCGAAGGCAGCCUGCCGGGGUGCGACUGACGCUGAGGCUCGAAGGUGCGGGUAUCAAACAGGAUUAGAUACCCCAGUAGUC
Molecule: ribosomal RNA, 441 nt
Filed under: uncultured bacterium
Lineage: Bacteria
Description: partial 16S ribosomal RNA
Rfam family: Bacterial small subunit ribosomal RNA
Source: RNAcentral